This 290-nucleotide long non-coding RNA is filed under the name Capsicum annuum. Its description in RNAcentral is "long non-coding RNA (CANN_LNC002224)". The record is from RNAcentral. Lineage: Eukaryota; Viridiplantae; Streptophyta; Magnoliopsida; Solanales; Solanaceae.
UGACAGGAUUGUAUAUGCGUGACUAGUUUACUGCAAGUGUUACGAAGUUGAAGAAUGGCUUUUCCCAACCAGCCUUGUGUACAAAAAGGUGUGGAAAUGCAUAGGGAGCAACGAAGAUGAAUGAAAAAACCAGAGACAUUUGUUUAUGGAAUCUUGAGAUAGUUAUCCUUAUGUAUCAGUACAACAUUGCAAAACCAAAAAAAAAAAAACUUUUUUUAAUCAUUUUUCAAAUAUUCACAAUAAUAUUAAUAUAAAUUAUAGAUUAUAAAUUAUAGAAUAUAUUAUAUAUU